This 98-nucleotide signal recognition particle RNA is filed under the name Campylobacterota bacterium. RNAcentral's name for it is "Epsilonproteobacteria bacterium (hydrothermal vent metagenome) signal recognition particle sRNA small type". It matches the Rfam family "Bacterial small signal recognition particle RNA". Rfam says of the family: The signal recognition particle (SRP) is a universally conserved ribonucleoprotein involved in the co-translational targeting of proteins to membranes. Archaeal SRP consists of a 7S RNA and homologues of the eukaryotic SRP19 and SRP54 proteins. In most bacteria, the SRP consists of a 4.5S RNA and the Ffh protein (a homologue of the eukaryotic SRP54 protein). The record is from RNAcentral. Lineage: Bacteria; Pseudomonadati; Campylobacterota.
UCUUGAGACCUGUGCAAUAGCCUCUCAGGGCAACGCUUCAGGGCGGGAACGCAGCAGAGCACCCUGUUUGGCUAUGUGCCGCAGGUAUCUUAAGGGGA